GGAAUCUGCCCUUGGGUUCGGAAUAACGGGUGGAAAUGACUGCUAAUACCGGAUGAUGUCUUCGGACCAAAGAUUUAUCGCCCAGGGAUGAGCCCGCGUCGGAUUACCUAGUUGGUGAGGUAAAGGCUCACCAAGGCGACGAUCCGUAGCUGGUCUGAGAGGAUGAUCACCCACACUGGGACUGAAACACGGCCCAGACUCCUACGGGAGGCAGCAGUGGGGAAUAUUGGACAAUGGGCGAAAGCCUGAUCCAGCAAUGCCGCGUGAGUGAUGAAGGCCUUAGGGUUGUAAAGCUCUUUUACCCGGGAUGAUAAUGACAGUACCGGGAGAAUAAGCCCCGGCUAACUCCGUGCCAGCAGCCGCGG
RNAcentral lists this ribosomal RNA (365 nucleotides) under uncultured Sphingomonas sp. RNAcentral describes it as "bacterial SSU rRNA". It matches the Rfam family "Bacterial small subunit ribosomal RNA", at positions 121 to 520 of the family's 1533-position model. Lineage: Bacteria; Pseudomonadati; Pseudomonadota; Alphaproteobacteria; Sphingomonadales; Sphingomonadaceae. The record is from RNAcentral.